Molecule: ribosomal RNA, 515 nt
Filed under: uncultured bacterium
Lineage: Bacteria
Description: partial 16S ribosomal RNA
Rfam family: Bacterial small subunit ribosomal RNA
Source: RNAcentral
GAUGAACGCUGGCGGCGUGCCUAAUACAUGCAAGUCGAGCGAAUGGAUUGAGAGCUUGCUCUUAUGAAGUUAGCGGCGGACGGGUGAGUAACACGUGGGUAACCUGCCCAUAAGACUGGGAUAACUCCGGGAAACCGGGGCUAAUACCGGAUAACAUUUUGAACCGCAUGGUUCGAAAUUGAAAGGCGGCUUCGGCUGUCACUUAUGGAUGGACCCGCGUCGCAUUAGCUACUUGGUGAGGUAACGGCUCACCAAGGCAACGAUGCGUAGCCGACCUGAGAGGGUGAUCGGCCACACUGGGACUGAGACACGGCCCAGACUCCUACGGGAGGCAGCAGGAGGGAAUCUUCCGCAAUGGACGAAAGUCUGACGGAGCAACGCCGCGUGAGUGAUGAAGGCUUUCGGGUCGUAAAACUCUGUUGUUAGGGAAGAACAAGUGCUAGUUGAAUAAGCUGGCACCUUGACGGUACCUAACCAGAAAGCCACGGCUAACUACGUGCCAGCCGCCGCGGUAA